RNAcentral lists this ribosomal RNA (440 nucleotides) under uncultured bacterium. RNAcentral's name for it is "bacterial SSU rRNA". It matches the Rfam family "Bacterial small subunit ribosomal RNA", at positions 338 to 795 of the family's 1533-position model. The record is from RNAcentral.
CCUACGGGUGGCAGCAGUCGGGAAUUUUGCGCAAUGGGGGAAACCCUGACGCAGCAAUACCGCGUGUGGGAUGAAGGCCUUCGGGUCGUAAACCACUUUUUUCGGGGACGAUAAUGACGGUACCCGAAGAAUAAGCCACGGCUAACUACGUGCCAGCAGCCGCGGUAAUACGUAGGUGGCAAGCGUUGUCCGGAUUUACUGGGCGUAAAGCGCGCGCAGGCGGUGAAUGAAGUCGAAAGUGAAAGCCCCGGGCUCAACUCGGGAACUGCUUUCGAAACCAGUUCACUUGAAGGCGGAAGAGGGAAGUGGAAUUCCGAGUGUAGUGGUGGAAUGCGUAGAUAUUCGGAAGAACACCAGAGGCGAAGGCGACUUCCUGGUCCGAUCUUGACGCUGAGGCGCGAAAGCUAGGGGAGCAAACGGGAUUAGAUACCCUUGUAGUC